This 1691-nucleotide small RNA is filed under the name Rattus norvegicus (Norway rat). RNAcentral describes it as "uncharacterized LOC108349077". The record is from RNAcentral. Lineage: Eukaryota; Metazoa; Chordata; Mammalia; Rodentia; Muridae.
ACCCCAAGGGAGGAAAAGGCACUGCUUAUAUAUGCUUAGGAGACUCGUGUCACUACCCGAUUGGUGCAAGCCCCAAUGCCCAAUUUGAAUGCCCCGAGAGCGGGCUGUGAUGUGCUUGGCUCAUGCGCACUGGGUCCUUCAGGGUAGACAACGGUUGUGCCCUGCUGACUCACUCACAGGAAAUCGGCGCCAUCUUUGGGCGAGGUGUCCAAGGAAACCUGCCUGAACAGAUAAAGAAAGUAUCUCAGCAGUGUCUAGGGCAGUGAAUGGGGAUCUCUUUCUGGCCUCUAUAUUGGACCUCCUUAGAAGGACAGUGGACAUGGACAGAAAGUCGGGGGCUACUGCUAAAGUAAAUAUAGUGAAGUUCAGGUCAUCCUAUUGGACAACCUUUCAGUGACAUUGGAUAGAUACUAUUUACAAAAAAUAUUGAAGUACUUAUUUAGAAUUCCAGCAUAAUGUAAUUAAAAUUCAAUUUAGAAACUUCAAUACAUGGUUGAGAGAAAUCCAAAUAUGUAUGAAUUCUUGGAUGUGCACAUUCCUAUACUUAAUAUGAGCGAUAUUUACACUUCACCUAUAGACUCAGUGCAACCAUUUUGAUGCUCACACACCAAAUGUAACAAUCAGCUAGGAAUAAACCAAAACGAGAUAGAAAAGAACAGUGAAGAUUCCUCAAGGUCCUGCAUUUCUAGUUCCAGCACAUCCCACAAAGCCUCAGAUAUACAGAAAGUGCUGCAGAGAAGAACAUAAAAUGGACAUAUGGAAUGGGCCACAAAUCCCAGCAAGAAAUCUACCUCAAUCAGGUCAGAUGAUUUGGUCAAAGGCAUCCAGAGAAAACAAAGCAAAUGUUCUAUCCACAAAGGAUGCAUAAGAGAUAUAAAGAGGAAACAAUUAGGAAACAAUUGAAAAAGAGAACACAGUCAACAUUGUUACAGUUGUUCCCAGAUCCAAACCCUAUAAUUUUCAUGGAAUAGUUACAUAAGAGGCCUACAGGAGUUUCUGUCUUAUAAGGAGGAAGAUCAGAAAGAAAUGAAGAUGAACUUUGGAAACAGAUGCUCUGGUGUCACUAGCAAUAAAAUGCUGAAGCUAGAUAAUCGCUAGAGCAGAAAUCUCCCUGGUGAUAUCUAGAGGGAGCCUGCCACACAAUAUACUACAGGAGACAACAAAUUACUGUUCGACCACAGAGUUUAUGGUCCACUGCUUAGCAGCAGUAGAGGAAUGUCCAGAUCUAACAAGUUGGGGAAAAUGCCAAGUCUACGGGAAACAGCUGAGUCCAACUGCUCUCCCACCAACCACCUGCCACUCUGAAGCACAAGGACAAACCCAGCACCUUGCUGUUGACUGAUCCCAGGCAGAUUUGGCUAUUGGUCUGGAUAGUCUUGCUGCUGUCCUGCCACCAGCGCUAGGAGAAGAUGACCAGAACCUGCUUCCUACAAACAUGCCCUGACAAGGAGCCUGUGCCUCCUACCCUACCUACAGUUUGUCCUUUAAGACAAAAUAAAUAGCUACUUACAAUGAACUUCUUUUGGGAAUACAUUUUCUAGCUUCAUCUUCAGUACCAACAACAACAAUGCCUAUUGAGAGCUAUAUUUUUAUCUUGAUCCUCCAGAGGAUCCAGCUAAGUGACCACAAGUUAUCAUCAUCAACCCCAAAGUUUCUGAUUCAGAAGUUAUACUUUUCCUGAAUAAACUUGU